RNAcentral lists this non-coding RNA (23 nucleotides) under Arabidopsis thaliana (thale cress). Lineage: Eukaryota; Viridiplantae; Streptophyta; Magnoliopsida; Brassicales; Brassicaceae. The record is from RNAcentral.
ACAUUGCCGACCUCCACCGCCGA